AUUGAACGCUGGCGGCAUGCUUUACACAUGCAAGUCGAACGGCAGCGCGGGCUUCGUCCUGCCCUCGAGUUGCGAACGGGUGAGUAAUUCAUCCGUACGUGCCCUGUAUUUGGGGAUAGCCCGACUACAGCCGGAUUAAUACCGCAUACGACCUUAUGGUGAACGCCGGGGUCCGAAAGGCCUCGCGCUAUUUGAUCUCCCGUUGUCGGAUUAGCUAGUUGGUUGGGUAAAGGCUUACCAAGGCGACGAUCCGUAGCUGGUCUGAGAGGACGACCAGCCACACUGGGACUGAGACACGGCCCAGACUCCUACGGGAGGCAGCAGUGGGGAAUUUUGGACAAUGGGGGCAAGCCUGAUCCAGCCAUGCCGCGUGAGGGAAGAAGGCCUUCGGGUUGUAAACCGCUUUUGUUAGGGAAGAAAUCCUCUGGGCUAAUACCCCGGGGGGAUGACGGUACCGGAAGAAUAAGCACCGGCUAACUACGUG
Molecule: ribosomal RNA, 484 nt
Filed under: uncultured bacterium
Lineage: Bacteria
Description: partial 16S ribosomal RNA
Rfam family: Bacterial small subunit ribosomal RNA
Source: RNAcentral